Drosophila innubila is the source of this 1127-nucleotide long non-coding RNA. RefSeq lists it as uncharacterized. The record is from RefSeq and is a predicted model, not a curated record. The transcript has 3 exons. Lineage: Eukaryota; Metazoa; Arthropoda; Insecta; Diptera; Drosophilidae.
GUUGGCAACAGUGAUUUAAUACUUAGUUUGCGUUUUCAUUUGGUGUUGUUUUGACGCCGAAGCAUGUACGAGUAACGAACGUCGCGCUAUGAUUGUUAUACGAAUGUAUUAAUUACAAAUAGUGAAGUGUGUGCAAAAGGCGACAAAGUGCAAGAUAAGAGUCUAUUAGGUAUUAUCGAAGCGCAGCAAGAAACCAAGAUUAGAUAAAAAGAAAGAAAAGUAAAUGCGAAUCAGCAAAAAUAUAUCUGCAACUGAAGCCAUCGGCAGUCGCCGCCGCGUGAAAAAUAUAAAAUAAAAGUAAAAGAGAAGUGAAGAGAAGAAAAGAAGAGUUCAGUGCCAGGUGCCAGCGUCUGCAUCGUUUGUUUGUCUCUCAUUUGUCUGAGCGUCGCGUUGUAAUUGUAUGUGUGUGUAUGUUUAGUUGUAAGUGCAAAUACACCUGUCUGCCUUGCUAAAAACCCCAAGCAUAAUUGCAUAUCCCAGAGACACUAACAUCAACAACAACAACAAAUUCGCUGACCGCCACCGCGUGUGCUUAAGUGUGUGUGUGUAUGGUGAGAAAAUGUCAUUGCCAGUGUCGACGCUGACGUCGCAGUCAAAGUAAAGAUAAAAGCACAGAACGCGCGCGACCAGCAAUAAUAAAAAGUGAAUCAAAACGUCGCCGUCAGCAAGUGUGCGUGCGUGCGUUUGUGUGUGUGUGUCUGUUAAAGAGAGAAGAGAGAGUGCAAAACGCAUUCCUUUGAUCCGUCUUAUUAUUGUUGUUGUUACUACACCAAGUUCUGUCCAAGGCAGCAGCGCAGGCGACGCCACAGCAACAACAACAACUACAGUUACCAACCAACUUGUACGUCCAGCGCUUAAAUUCCAGUUUCUUGUUUUUGUUUCACAGAGUUCUGUUAACUACUGCAACUAUUGCUUCCAUAAAAACAUAUUGCCAUUAAGGAUAAGCAACCAUACUUAACGGAAUUGUGACUGCCAAAAAUUUGUGAAGAUAUCAUUUACAUAUGCCUAACAAAAUGCGGAACUCUGCGAUUCGAAAAUAGAACAUUAUUUAAUCUUAAACGCAACAGAGAAUUUCAGACACCAUGGACGCUCCAGAUGCCGGUCGCAUUAUACGUGCACCUGCACGA